AGCGGGGUAGAGAAAUUGGUCAACUCAUCAUGUUCAUGACCUGAAGACAGCAUGUUCGAAUCCUGUCUCGGCCU
This is a non-coding RNA of Oryza nivara, 74 nucleotides long. Lineage: Eukaryota; Viridiplantae; Streptophyta; Magnoliopsida; Poales; Poaceae. The record is from Rfam.